This 45-nucleotide non-coding RNA is filed under the name Schistosoma mattheei. The record is from RNAcentral. Lineage: Eukaryota; Metazoa; Platyhelminthes; Trematoda; Strigeidida; Schistosomatidae.
AUUCAAAUGACGAGUUUCAAAUAGAACGAGACAUGCGUCCUGGAU